CAGCAGCCGCGGUAACACGUAGGUGGCAAGCGUUGUCCGGAAUUAUUGGGCGUAAAGGGCUCGCAGGCGGUUUCUUAAGUCUGAUGUGAAAGCCCCCGGCUCAACCGGGGAGGGUCAUUGGAAACUGGGAAACUUGAGUGCAGAAGAGGAGAGUGGAAUUCCACGUGUAGCGGUGAAAUGCGUAGAGAUGUGGAGGAACACCAGUGGCGAAGGCGACUCUCUGGUCUGUAACUGACGCUGAGGAGCGAAAGCGUGGGGAGCGAACAGGAUUAGAUACCCCCGUAGUCCCUGUCUCUUAUAC
Molecule: ribosomal RNA, 301 nt
Filed under: uncultured bacterium
Lineage: Bacteria
Description: partial 16S ribosomal RNA
Rfam family: Bacterial small subunit ribosomal RNA
Source: RNAcentral